UUCCAUUGUAUUUGUGUGUGGAUUUUUGAGACUGUCCUGACGGUAUUUGACACACAAAUGUGCUCAGCCAAUCACAUCAGCCGGCGUUCGAGCGUAAGGUUGAAGACAUUGCGCUUCUAUUACGCAGAGCAGGCUACUAGUGCGAAGCCACCAUAGAUCUGUAUAAAUAACUGGAAGUAGAGCCAUUACUGAAGUGCUCCCUGACGUAAACUCGGAAGCGUAUGAAGUUACUGACUUUCACAUCAUCUUUGUACAAAUAUGUCUGGAUCUGGACUAACGUGUGCCGUAAUCGGAUGUAACAAUAACAGCAGAAAGCUAAAAAUGUGGAAAAAGAGCGUAUGUGCGCUUCAUAGUCCACAGUUUAAAGAGGAUUGUCCAUGUUGUGUGCCCUACGGUGUACACCGCUUCCCCGGCCGUGCUGAGGAUGAAGACAUUCGCAAGAUGUGGAUUAAAAACGUACACCGAAAGGACUUUGCCCCCAAACAAGUAUUCAAGGGUGUGUGGAGUACACUUCCCUGACGGCAGACCAACGCAGGAACACCCAUAUCCCAUAAUAUGGGAUAUGAAUAUAGUAAAGCACCGUCAUGUGGAAGACCACCCCAAAGAGGAGAUGUCUCCAGCCCCCAACAGAGAGACCAUGUGAUGAGCCUCCUGUGACAGAUUCUGACACCGAAGUAGGGCAUAGCUAGCCUCGCGAGCCAUCCUACGUACUUCCGCCAAAGGAUUGGCUCCACUACUGUAGUCUGGCCGUGCUUCUCUGUGGAGUGCUUGCAGCAGUAGAAUUUUGAUUGCAACGCCCCCCCAGAAAACAGCCAAUAAUCGAAUACGCCCCCCACGUGGGGACGAAAGGGGGAGAACGCUCGUGACAAUGACGUACACAUCUGCGCCAGAGCCAUUGGUCUGCGCUAUGUUGUUGUUGAGUAACUGCCAGCGAUUGGGUGAGAGGUGUCCAAUAAUUUCAAACUAUAACUGAGUGCAAACUUCCUGCUUUCUACAAUCGCUUCAGAGCAAACAAAUGCCAGACCAUAAAUACGAAAUGAAAUGGUAGUAUUAUGGGAUGGUCAGGACCAGGCUAGGGCAUAGCUUGGAGGAUAGUCUGUCUCCACACCAAUGUGAUGUUGGCACUCAGUGGCCAGAGCGUAGUGAUCAUGAUUGUUGUUCGAUGAAGUCAACAAAAGAUGCAAGCACACAAACCGAUCCUACACCAUCACUGUCAGAUCAUGACAUGGAUGAUAAAGUGUCAAAACUUUACACUGGACUAGACAUCAUCAGCUUUUGGCAACUUUUGAACACCAUCAUUGGCUUUCUUCCACAGUCGAAGACGUUCAAAUUACCAGUCCAUGAACAGCUAAGUGCUGGUCCUAAUGAGGCUUCGGCUUGGCUACAGCCUGUGAUAUGUCCGCAAUGUGGAGAGCAACACUUGCCAAUUUCACAAGGGAAAAUCUUAUUUUUUGGCUCCCUCGAGACACUCUGAAUAGAGUAAGACCCUCAAGUUUUCUUGAACACUAUCCCAAUGCAACAUGCAUCAUAGAUUGCACUGAAAUAUUUGUCCAAAGACCGAAGAACUUGGGGAAAAGAGCAAAAACAUACAGCAACUAUAAGCAUCACAACACCUACAAAGUCCUCU
Long non-coding RNA from Engraulis encrasicolus (European anchovy), 1627 nucleotides. RefSeq lists it as uncharacterized. The transcript has 3 exons. NCBI's taxonomy places the organism in Eukaryota, Metazoa, Chordata, Actinopteri, Clupeiformes, Engraulidae. The record is from RefSeq and is a predicted model, not a curated record.